CAGCAGCCGGUAAUACGGAGGGAGCUAGCGUUGUUCGGAAUUACUGGGCGUAAAGCGCACGUAGGCGGUUAUUCAAGUCAGAGGUGAAAGCCCGGGGCUCAACCCCGGAACAGCCUUUGAAACUAGAUGACUAGAAUCUUGGAGAGGUCAGUGGAAUUCCGAGUGUAGAGGUGAAAUUCGUAGAUAUUCGGAAGAACACCAGUGGCGAAGGCGACUGACUGGACAAGUAUUGACGCUGAGGUGCGAAAGCGUGGGGAGCAAACAGGAUUAGAUACCCUCGUAGUCCCUGUCUCUUAUACAC
Molecule: ribosomal RNA, 301 nt
Filed under: uncultured bacterium
Lineage: Bacteria
Description: partial 16S ribosomal RNA
Rfam family: Bacterial small subunit ribosomal RNA
Source: RNAcentral